This 56-nucleotide transfer RNA is filed under the name Rattus norvegicus (Norway rat). It matches the Rfam family "tRNA", at positions 9 to 63 of the family's 71-position model. From Rfam's summary of the family: Transfer RNA (tRNA) molecules are approximately 80 nucleotides in length. Lineage: Eukaryota; Metazoa; Chordata; Mammalia; Rodentia; Muridae. The record is from Rfam by way of RNAcentral.
AGCUCAGUGGUAGAGCACUUGCCUAGCAAGCGCAAGGCCCUGGGUUCGAUCCCCAG